GCUGGGACACAUGUGGGCAUGGCUGGGACACGUGUGGGCACGGCUGGGCUGGGCUGGAAUUCACAAGUGCACGGACAUGCCAGGUUAGCACAUGUGUGUACAUGGCUGGGACACGCCUGCCAUGGCUGGGGAUGGCCAGAACAGGUGUGUUUGUGGCUGUGCAUGGCUGGAACAUGCAUGUUCGUGGCUGUUCAUGGCUAGGACAUACAUGGCCAUGGUCAGGACAUGUGUGUGCAUGUCUGAGGCACACGUGUCAUGGCUGUGUAUGGACCAGACACGCAUGUCAAUGGCUGUGCAUGGCUAGAACAUACAUGAGCAUGGCUAGCACACGUGUGUACAUGGCAGGGACUCAGGUGCAGUGCAUGUGGGUGGUUGUGCAUGGUCAGAACACGUGUGUGUGCUUGGCUGCCCUGGCAGGGCCACAUGGCAGGGCAGGUUUGGGCCACCAGCCACCUUGGGGGUUCUCUGGAUUCCCCCAAAAGGGUCCCCCACACCCACAUCCCACCCUCCUGUGCCUUGGUACCCCUUUCCUGCUCUGGGCAGCCCGUGAUGCCCCCACUCAUGGCUCUCCCCGCCUGUCCUCCCCUCCCUUCACCCCUCUACUCACACCUUGCCCUUGGCUAAUCCCCUUGUAUUUGUCUGGGCCGCCUUCCAGGGCCACCCACCUCUUUAUGGGGCCGCUGCUGAGUAAACGCUGCCUUUGCUCUGCUAAACGGGGGCUCCUCCUCGGCACGGCCAGGGCUGGUGGGUCCUGACCUUUCAUGUGCUGCUCACCUUUCUCAGGGGCUGCCCUUUCCCUCCAACCACAGCUCCCCCCAUCCUCCUCCUCGUCCUUCCCGAGGAUUUGGGGCAUCCAUGGCCGCCUGAUCCCACCAAAGCCACCCUUGGCCAUGCCCAAGGACCCUCGUGCCUGUCCCUCCCCACCCACCCCCUCUGAGUGUUUCGAGGCCUGUUUCCUCCCUGCCUCCCUCCCUCCCCCCCUGCCUCGUCUCCCUUGCCAAGCCCUGACACUCGAUGGCAGCCCCAUUCAAAAUGCAUGGGCUCCCCUUUCCGAGCGCCCCGGUCCUUUUGAACUAAAAGGAUUUUCUCAGAGGCUAAGUUCAAAUGUGCGGCCGUUAUUUAUUUAUCAGCCCCUCUAUGUAUUAUUCAUUUAUUUAAAAAUGUAUGGCAGCUGGGAGCCCCCGUGUUUUAAUCACCCCCUCGGAUGGCGAGGGCCAGGUGGGGCCGUCCCCCUCGCUCCGCCGCUAACCUGGCGCGGUGGCCGCCGCCGGCCCGCCCGGGCUCACGCCUGAUUUACCGCCAGCCCGACCAAAACUAAACCCCCCCUGCCCCAGCCCCACGCCAGGCCGGGAGCCUGAGCUGUUCCGUGGGGAUGCCGAGGGCCUGCUGUGCCCCAAAUGCUGCGGGUGGGUGUGCGGGGUCGCCACCUUUGUCAUCGCCCUCCCUGGCGCUGGGUUUUUCUGGGGAUGGGGAUGUGCCCUGCUCGUCCCUUGCUGGCCACUCUGGUGUCCCCUGCCCGGCCCCUCUGGCAGGUCCCUUGUCCCACAAGGACAAGGCUGACACCGCUGCAUGGGAAGGCUGGAAGGGGCUGGCGUUGGGCUGUCAGGGAGAAAACGAGGCAGAAAAAGGGGAAAACCAGCAGUGCUUCUCCUUGCCCGGCACGGUGGGGAGGAGGGGACACUGCCAGCCCUCCUGGCACCCCCGUGGGGGUGAAGGACCGAGUGCCCCGGUGGGAGGAGCACCAAGGGUUAAGGAUGCUCAACAUCCCCCCCCCACACUCAGGGAGCCCCCACCACCCUGUUCCUGGCUGGGACACUCGCUAAUUGAGACAGCUUCAGCCCCUGCCUCCCUCCUCUCCCCCUGGGGCUGAGCUGCCUCUUCCCAGGGGGAGCACAUUGUCUGCUCCAGCGGGUUGAUGUAAUCCCUAAGCCCGAACAAUACUUCCCCACCCCGCUCCGGUUGAAAGGGUAUUAGUUGCCCAAUGAGAUAAUUACUCCACAGGCCACCCUAACCAUCCCCUCGGUCCAGCCGCUCUCCCCGCCCCGGCUCAGCCCUGCGGGCACCCGGGAUGUGGGGUUGGGGUACCCCGGGGUGACACUGCUGGGAAUGCUCGUCCUGCACAGCCACACAGACCCCAAAAAACCAUCAGGAGAAUAUCCCAUGGAAGGGGGAUGAGCUGCUGAGAUGUCACCUCCAGCCUCGUGGCUGCUGUCACCUCAAAAUGCCACCCAUUGCAUGGGGUGGGAAUCCCAGGACGUGCUGUUGGAGCCCGGGGGGGGAUGAACCUGCUCCCGGUGCGACAGGAUUUGGGAUUUUCCAGAAGUCACAACCCCACCUUGACCCCUCGGGAAGGAGCUGGGCUGGCAGAUGUCCCCUGAGUGCCCCACAGCGAGCACAGGCCCAUCAGCACAUCAAGGAACUGAUCAUCGGGCUGAAACCUGGGGCAACAAAAUUCCACGUUUCCAUCAAACAUCAGCACUCACAGAACCGAUGAGGCUGGACCCGAUUUCAGAACCCCAAUCUCAGCAGUUUAAACCCCUGCCCCAAUCUAGGGGAUAAAUGUGAGGUUCCCAGGCUUGGUUUGUCAGGGAAUAAUCCCAGUUUUCAGCUCUGCUUUGUGCAGGCUUUGCUGCCAGAGGGACCCUGACCCUGCUCCGUGUGGAGCCACGUGGCACACGCGUGGCAUUAGCGUGUCCCCACGGGCACACGUGUGUGCUCACACAGUGCUGGAUGCUUGCCUGGGCUGCAGUCCAGUGGUUUUCCCAUCUGGAUGGUGUGCCAGGGCUGGAUUUCCCCUCCUGGAGCAGCAAAGGACCAUCAUCUUCAGGGCUUCCCCAUCCCUCAAAUGCCUGAGAUGGAACUGGGAAUGCUGUAGGAAAAAAGGGCCUGUUUAGGGCUGCUGAAAUUAAGGCCUAGUUCUUAUUAAUCCUGCUCUUUGCAGCUCUGGCAGGGAUUAUUCCAUCCCAUCCCAUCCCAUCCCAUCCCAUCCCAUCCCAUCCCAUCCCAUCCCAUCCCAUCCCAUCCCAUCCCCAUUCUGGAAUGCUGGUACAGGGAAUUAAUCUCCUGGAGGUUUUGUUGAUCCCAACCCCAGGAAUGGCGGCCAGGGGGGAAUCCGAGGGGCUGGGGGAGAGAGACAGGACCAGGACCCUCUGCCACUGGGUAUUUGUGGUGGGAGUCGGUGUUUGGUGGGAUGAUCACUGGGAUGCUCAUUGGGAUGCUCACUGGGAUGGUCACUUGGAUGGUCACCAAGGUGGUCACUGGGAUGGUCAGUGGAUGGAAUGGGAUGGGUUUGACCAGGGAUGGGGUCUGAGUGACAGGUCCAGCAGCAUCACGGUCCCCAGGCUCCACCACUCCAAGCUCCCAGCACUGACUGGACAUUCCCAUUCCCCGGCAGGACCAGGAGCAUCCCUCCCCGGCAGCGCCGGGAACGCGGCCGGCAGCGCCGGGGCCGUGCAAGGCCAAUGCUGCGGCUCUGCCGCUCCCGCCGCUCCUCCCCGGGCCCUUUCCCGACCGAUCCCACCACCCCCCCCAUCACCACCACCCCCGACAGACAAACACCGGCUCUUUCUCCGCCACAAAGUCCUCGUCCAGCCGCGCACACAAAGCCGCUCCAUUAUCCGAGGGGGGACGGAGAGGAGGGGCCGGGGGGCGGCGGCCGCACAAAGCGCACAAGUGGCGCGCGGGGCCGCCCCCAUUGUGUCUGGGCAGGAAGGGCCGGGACCCCCGGCGCGGCCCCUCAAUGGCCCCAUUGUGUCUGAGACACCCCCACCCCACCCCGUCCCCUCGGGUGUCCCCCUGGGGGUGGGGGGGGUGUGUGUGUCCCCUCCCCGCCUCCAGCUCGUCCCCACCCAGCCCGGGAUUUUUGGGGUUGGAGGGGAUGGGUUUUUAGGGUGGGUGCCCCCCUCUCGCCCCCCGGGGUGAAGGUGGGUGCUGGGGCCAGCGGGAGGUGAAGUUCUCACCUCCACCUGAUGUGGUUUUGGGUGAUAAAAAGGCCAAUUUGGGGCAGAUUAAGGUGUCCCCUCCCCAGCAGCGGGUGCUGUGGGUGAUCAGUGUGGUUUGGAAGUGGUCACUGAGGUUUGGAGGUGAUCAGUGAGGGUUGGAGGUGAUACAUGAGGGUCUGGAGGUGAUCAGUGAGGGUUUGGGCGUGACCCAUGAGGGUUUGGAGGUGAUUAUUGUGCUUCUGGAGGUGAUCAGUGGGGAUUUGGAGGUGAUCCAUGAGGGUUUGGAGGUGAUCACUGUUGUUUGGAGGUGAUCACUGUUGUUUGGAGGUGAUCACUGUUUGGAGGUGAUCAGUGAGGGUUUAGAGAUGAUCACUGUGUUUUUGGAGGUCACCAAUUGCCCCAUUUUGGGGUUUUUUUGCAGAGGAGAAGUCCCCACACUGCUCUGAUCACCGUGAUCCACCCACACUCCUCAUCCAGAGCAGGGAUGGGGCGAAGCCUCCAGAGCCCCAGGAAGACCCCCCACCCACCCAAAACACCCUCACCCUGGAAAUCCAAGGAUGGAUGAGCCCCAUGGGUGCCAUGGACUGGGUUUUCCUGCCCCUGGGAGCUCCCAGGCUGCUCCUGGAACGGGUUUGGAGUGACCAAGCUGUUCAGUCCUGUCCCUCCAGGAUGAGGCAGCGCUGGUGGAUCCAGGCUCGGGAUGUAGGCUUGGCUUUCCCAAGGAUGCUCAGCACCCUCUCACCUCUCCUGGACCGGGCCAGUGUCCAGCAGCUCCAGGGCCUUGGCUGACUGCACCCCCCAGCUGGGGCACGGGGGGACCCCCUGGAGGCACCAGGAGCACCAAGGAUGAGCCAGGAGGUGCCACCCCCUGUCCCCAGCAGGAGGUGACAGGAGUGGGGCCCAGGGGACCAAGGAAUGCUGGAGAUAAAGCCGAGGCUGGGACUGGAACGUGGGCAGGACCCGUGGGACACUCCUCCCGUGCCCAGGGUAAGGGCUUGCCCCCUCCUUUCCCAAAAUAACCAGCCCCAGAUGUGCCCAGAGGGUCCCACCCGGGGUCCCUCACCCUGCAGUGCCAGAGGGGACAGCGAGGGGACAUCCCAGGAAUCUGGAAGGACACGGAGCUGCUGCCACCCGGCCCAAGGCACCGGGAGGAUGAUCUACAGCCAGCCAGGGAAAGGGGGAAAUUCCAGUGCAUUAAAGGUGUUGAAAGCC
Myiozetetes cayanensis is the source of this 5153-nucleotide RNA transcript. It is a transcript of the gene named collagen alpha-1(I) chain-like, with no coding region annotated. Lineage: Eukaryota; Metazoa; Chordata; Aves; Passeriformes; Tyrannidae. The record is from RefSeq and is a predicted model, not a curated record. The transcript has 4 exons.